RNAcentral lists this ribosomal RNA (1596 nucleotides) under Triticum aestivum (bread wheat). RNAcentral describes it as "partial small subunit ribosomal RNA". Lineage: Eukaryota; Viridiplantae; Streptophyta; Magnoliopsida; Poales; Poaceae. The record is from RNAcentral.
AUGGAGGUUGCUGCUGGGGCCAUGGGCCCCGUCAUCCGUAAGCUUGGUGAGCUCCUCGUUGGAGAAUACAACCUGGAGAAGCGAGUGAAGAAAGGCGUAACAUCGCUCCUUACAGAGCUGGAGAUGAUGCAUGCCGUACUUCGUAAGGUUGGUGAGGUGCCGUCAGACCAGCUUGAGGAGCCGGUCCGGAUUUGGGCUGGCAAGGUGAGAGACCUCUCUUGCGACAUGGAAGAUGUUGUUGAUGACUUCCUUGUGCGUGUGGAUGAGGGUUCUAGCAACAAGCCAACAGACAUGAGGAAUCGAGUCAAGAAGUUUCUCAAGAAGACCACCAAAUUGUUUGGUAAGGGCAAAGCACUUCAUCAAAUCUGUGAUGCCAUUGACGAAGCUCAGGAUCUUGCCAAGGAGUUGACGGACCUGCGUAAAAGGAGUUCCGAGGAGCAACUGAAGACGAUCUCUAUUGUUGGUGUUGGUGGGUUGGGUAAGACAACCCUCACCAAAGCAGUUUAUGAGAAUAUCAAAGCUCAAUUUGAUUGUGCGGCUUUUGUCCCUGUGGGUCAGAAACCAGAUAUCCGGAAAGUUUUCAAGGACAUACUUUAUGGCCUUGACAAAGUAAAGUUCAGGGACAUUCAUAAUACAACAAAGGGUGAAAAUCUACUCAUCGAGGAAAUCAGUGAAUUCCUUGUGGAUAAAAGGUACCUCAUCGUAAUCGAUGAUAUAUGGGAAAAAGACAUAUGGAAAUAUAUAGAUUGUGCUCUCUAUAAAAAUAAACUCCAGAGUCGGGUAAUCACAACAACCCGCAAUGUGAGUGUGUCUGAAGCAUGUCUCUCUUCCACUAAUGGCACAAUUCACAGAAUGAAACCUCUUUCUGAUGAAGACUCGCAAAUACUCUUCCAUAGAAGAAUAUUUCAAAGUGAGGAGAAAUGUCCAGAAGAUUUGCGGAUAGUAUCAAGAGAUAUAUUGAAGAAAUGUGGUGGUGUACCAUUAGCUAUCAUUACAAUAGCUAGCCUCCUGGUAAGUAAUCAGCAGAUAAAGCCAAACCAUGAGUGGAUGGAUGUGUACAAUUCGAUGGGUCAUGGAGUUACACAAAAUGGUAUUGCUAAGGACAUGAAGAGGAUAUUAUCACUCAGCUAUUAUGAUUUGCCUCCUCAUUUGAAGACUUGUUUAUUAUAUCUAAGCAUCUUUCCUGAAGACUUUGAGGUUGAGAGAGUUUGGUUGAUAUGGAGGUGGCUUGCUGAAGGAUUUAUCCAGCGUGACAAAAAAGAAAGCAGUUUAUUUGAGAUCGGAGAGAGCUACUUCAACGAACUCAUGAAUAGAAGUUUGCUCCAGCCAGCAUAUAUCAAUGAGAAAGGAACAGUUGUAACUUUCCGUAUACAUGAUAUGGUUCUUGAUCUUAUCUGCUCACUGUCAAGUGAAGAGAAUUUUAUCUCCAUAUUGGAUAAUGAAGAGUGGCAUGCACCUAAUAUGCAUAGGAAAUUUCGCAGGUUAUCACUUCAUAAUAUCAAGGCAAAGGUUCAGAACCAUCAGUUUGAUAGCACUAGUCUGUCAAAAGUGAGGACAUUUGUUGUUUUUGUUAGGAAAGCAACUUAUCUUUAUUGA